UGUGUAGGCGGUUGUUUAAGUUUGGUGUGAAAUCUCCCGGCUCAACCGGGAGGGUGCGCCGAAUACUGAAUGACUUGGAGUGCGGGAGAGGAAAGUGGAAUUCCUGGUGUAGCGGUGAAAUGCGUAGAUAUCAGGAGGAACACCGGUGGUGUAGACGGCUUUCUGGACCGUAACUGACGCUGAGACACGAAAGCGUGGGUAGCAAACAGGAUUAGAUACCCUGGUAGUCCACGCCCUAAACGAUGCAUAUUUGGUGUGGGCAGUUCAUUCUGUCCGUGCCGGAGCUAACGCGUUAAAUAUGCCGCCUGGGGAGUACAGUCGCAAGGCUGAA
This 331-nucleotide ribosomal RNA is filed under the name uncultured bacterium. Its description in RNAcentral is "bacterial SSU rRNA". It matches the Rfam family "Bacterial small subunit ribosomal RNA", at positions 568 to 898 of the family's 1533-position model. The record is from RNAcentral.